RNAcentral lists this ribosomal RNA (763 nucleotides) under uncultured bacterium. Its description in RNAcentral is "bacterial SSU rRNA". It matches the Rfam family "Bacterial small subunit ribosomal RNA", at positions 49 to 794 of the family's 1533-position model. The record is from RNAcentral.
CUACCAUGCAGUCGACGCGAAAGUGGAGCAAUCCAUGAGUAGAGUGGCAAACGGGUGAGUAACACGUGGGUGACCUGCCUUCGAGUGGGGGAUAACCUUCCGAAAGGAGGGCUAAUACCGCAUGACAUCCCAUGUUUGGAUACAUGGAGAUCAAAGCCGGGGAUCGUAAGACCUGGCGCUUGAAGAGGGGCCCGCGUCCGAUUAGCUAGUUGGUGGGGUAAUGGCUCACCAAGGCUCCGAUCGGUAUCCGGCCUGAGAGGGCGGACGGACACACUGGAACUGAGACACGGUCCAGACUCCUACGGGAGGCAGCAGUGGGGAAUUGUUCGCAAUGGGCGCAAGCCUGACGACGCAACGCCGCGUGGAGGAUGAAGAAUUUCGGUUCGUAAACUCCUUUCGAUCGAGAUGAACAUCCUUCGGCCUAAUACGCCGGAGGACUGACAGUAUCGAGAGAAGAAGCCCCGGCUAACUCUGUGCCAGCAGCCGCGGUAAUACAGAGGGGGCAAGCGUUGUUCGGAAUUACUGGGCGUAAAGGGUUCGUAGGUGGCCGAUUUAGUCAGACGUGAAAUCCCUCAGCUCAACUGGGGAACUGCGUCUGAUACUGAUUGGCUUGAGUGCANGAGAGGAACGCGGAAUUCCAGGUGUAGCGGUGAAAUGCGUAGAUAUCUGGAGGAACACCGGUGGCGAAGGCGGCGUUCUGGACUGUAACUGACACUGAGGAACGAAAGCCAGGGGAGCAAACGGGAUUAGAUACCCCGGUAGU